Molecule: ribosomal RNA, 509 nt
Filed under: uncultured bacterium
Lineage: Bacteria
Description: partial 16S ribosomal RNA
Rfam family: Bacterial small subunit ribosomal RNA
Source: RNAcentral
GACGAACGCUGGCGGCGUGCUUAACACAUGCAAGUGGAGCGACGAACCCGGCUUCGGCCGGGGGCAAAGCCGCGAACGGGUGAGUAACACGUGGUUAACCUGCCCCGAUGAUUGGGACAACCCCGGGAAACCGGGGCUAAUACCAAAUGUGCUCACGUCCCACCAGGGACGUGAGGAAAGGAAGCUUCGGCCUCCGCAUCGGUAUGGGCCCGCGGCGCAUUAGCUUGUUGGUGAGGUAACGGCUCACCAAGGCUUCGAUGCGUAGCUGGUCUGAGAGGACGAUCAGCCACACUGGGACUGAGACACGGCCCAGACUCCUACGGGAGGCAGCAGUGGGGAAUCUUGCGCAAUGCGCGAAAGCGUGACGCAGCAACGCCGCGUGCGGGAAGACGGCCUUCGGGUUGUAAACCGCUUUCAGUUGGGACGAAGCUCCGCCGGUGAAUAGCCGUGCGGAGUGACGGUACCUUCAGAAGAAGCCCCGGCUAACUACGUGCCAGCAGCCGCGGUAA